This 90-nucleotide transfer RNA is filed under the name Streptomyces avermitilis. RNAcentral's name for it is "tRNA-Trp". Lineage: Bacteria; Bacillati; Actinomycetota; Actinomycetes; Kitasatosporales; Streptomycetaceae. The record is from RNAcentral.
GUGGAGCUGGCCCGCUUCGGGCUCCGGGCGCUCCAGCCGGCCACGACGGUGGCCCGGCGCUGGCGCGGUGCGGAGGCCAGGGCGCUGUUC